UNUGACUUGAGUGCAGAAGGGGAGAGUGGAAUUCCAUGUGUAGCAGUGAAAUGCGUAGAUAUAUGGAGGAACACCAGUGGCGAAAGCGGCUCUCUGGUCUGUCACUGACGCUGAGGCUCGAAAGCGUGGGUAGCGAACAGGAUUAGAUACCCUGGUAGUCCACGCCGUAAACGAUGAGUGCUAGGUGUUAGGCCCUUUCCGGGGCUUAGUGCCGGAGCUAACGCAAUAAGCACUCCGCCUGGGGAGUACGACCGCAAGGUUGAAACUCAAAGGAAUUGACGGGGGCCCGCACAAGCGGUGGAGCAUGUGGUUUAAUUCGAAGCAACGCGAAGAACCUUACCAGGUCUUGACAUCCCGAUGCUAUUCUUAGAGAUAGGAAGUUACUUCGGUACAUCGGAGACAGGUGGUGCAUGGUUGUCGUCAGCUCGUGUCGUGAGAUGUUGGGUUAAGUCCCGCAACGAGCGCAACCCUUAUUGUUAGUUGCCAUCAUUAAGUUGGGCACUCUAGCGAGACUGCCGGUAAUAAACCGGAGGAAGGUGGGGAUGACGUCAAAUCAUCAUGCCCCUUAUGACCUGGGCUACACACGUGCUACAAUGGUCGGUACAACGAGUUGCGAGCCGGUGACGGCAGGCUAAUCUCUGAAAGCCGAUCUCAGUUCGGAUUGGAGGCUGCAACUCGCCUCCAUGAAGUCGGAAUCGCUAGUAAUCGCGGAUCAGCACGCCGCGGUGAAUACGUUCCCGGGCCUUGUACACACCGCCCGUCACACCACGGAAGUCGUUCACACCCGAAGCCGGCGCAGCC
Molecule: ribosomal RNA, 801 nt
Filed under: uncultured bacterium
Lineage: Bacteria
Description: bacterial SSU rRNA
Rfam family: Bacterial small subunit ribosomal RNA
Source: RNAcentral